UAGGGAAUAUUGGACAAUGGGGGCAACCCUGAUCCAGCCAUGCCGCGUGAGUGAAGAAGGCCCUCGGGUUGUAAAGCUCUUUUGUCCGGAAAGAAAAGCUUCGGGUUAAUACCCCGGGGUUCUGACGGUACCGGAAGAAUAAGCACCGGCUAACUUCGUGCCAGCAGCCGCGGUAAUACGAAGGGUGCAAGCGUUACUCGGAAUUACUGGGCGUAAAGCGUGCGUAGGUGGUUGUUUAAGUCUGAUGUGAAAGCCCUGGGCUCAACCUGGGAAUGGCAUUGGAAACUGGGCAGCUAGAGUGCGGUAGAGGGUAGUGGAAUUCCCGGUGUAGCAGUGAAAUGCGUAGAGAUCUGGAGGAAUACCGGUGGCGAAGGCGGCCCCCUGGACAAAGACUGACGCUCAGGUGCGAAAGCGUGGGGAGCAAACA
RNAcentral lists this ribosomal RNA (427 nucleotides) under uncultured bacterium. RNAcentral describes it as "bacterial SSU rRNA". It matches the Rfam family "Bacterial small subunit ribosomal RNA", at positions 355 to 774 of the family's 1533-position model. The record is from RNAcentral.